This 327-nucleotide ribosomal RNA is filed under the name uncultured bacterium. RNAcentral describes it as "bacterial SSU rRNA". It matches the Rfam family "Bacterial small subunit ribosomal RNA", at positions 28 to 334 of the family's 1533-position model. The record is from RNAcentral.
GACGAACGCUGGCGGCGUGCUUAACACAUGCAAGUCGAACGGGGAUAACGGAGAGGAGAGCUUCGGCAGGAAUCGCUGUUAUUCGAGUGGCGGACGGGUGAGUAACGCGUGAGCAACCUGUCCCAGACAGGGGGAUAACACUUGGAAACAGGUGCUAAUACCGCAUAAGAUCACGGUGUCACAUGGCACAGGGGUAAAAGGUGCAAACCGGUUUGGGGUGGGCUCGCGUCCGAUUAGCCAGUUGGCGGGGUAACGGCCCACCAAAGCGACGAUCGGUAGCCGAUCUGAGAGGAUGACCGGCCACAUUGGAACUGAGAGGCGGUCCAA